UACGAAGGGGGCUAGCGUUGCUCGGAAUCACUGGGCGUAAAGGGUGCGUAGGCGGGUCUUUAAGUCAGGGGUGAAAUCCUGGAGCUCAACUCCAGAACUGCCUUCGAUACUGGGAAGCUUGAGUCCGGGAGAGGUGAGUGGAACUGCGAGUGUAGAGGUGAAAUUCGUAGAUAUUCGCAAGAACACCAGUGGCGAAGGCGGCUCACUGGCCCGGUACUGACGCUGAGGUGCGAAAGCGUGGGGAGCAAACAGG
RNAcentral lists this ribosomal RNA (253 nucleotides) under uncultured bacterium. Its description in RNAcentral is "partial 16S ribosomal RNA". It matches the Rfam family "Bacterial small subunit ribosomal RNA", at positions 524 to 776 of the family's 1533-position model. The record is from RNAcentral.